Molecule: long non-coding RNA, 569 nt
Filed under: Homo sapiens (human)
Lineage: Eukaryota; Metazoa; Chordata; Mammalia; Primates; Hominidae
Description: HSALNT0019054
Source: RNAcentral
UAUAAAAACCCAAGACCCUGGCGGGAAGACACAGAAGUGGUUGGGCGUCGUGAGGAACGCAUCGGCGGCAGAACACUCAAGCGGCUGGUUGUUGAGAGCACGCCAGCUGAAGAGCACCCCUGCACACUGGCAGGCCAUCCACAGGUGUCAGAAACUCAGCUCAGCUGGAAGAAACUUGAUGUACCAGGUAUCAGAGUAGCAAGUAAAGCCACAAGCCAAAAAUGAAAGAGAAUCUUUUAAGUGCUUAUCGUGAUGGUGUAAGUAAUUGUCCAAAAGAAACGCCGAUUCCUUCUGUUCCAUUUUUACCUGUGGAUUGUGGAUUGAAAUAACCAUUGGACCAUGAGGAGAGACUCUGAAGAGAGGCUAGUGAUAUGUGAUAUAAUACUCUUUUGUGACGUUGGACCAUGGCAGUGAGCCGCAUGUUGCCAGUCGAUUUUGUUCAACAGUAGGUACAUGGUAGAAGUAUGAUUUCUGACAAAAGUUCCAAGAUAAAUCAAAGAUAAAAGAAGAAUAAGAAGAGUAUGUAUAAAAUGAGAUUAAUGUAACAGAACAUAGAUCCCAGAAACAAG